GGCGAGUGAAGCGGCAACAGCUCAAAUUUGAAAUCUGGCCCUUGUGGUCCGAGUUGUAAUUUGUAGAGGAUGCUUUUGGUGAGGUACCUUCCGAGUUCCCUGGAACGGGACGCCAUAGAGGGUGAGAGCCCCGUCUGGUUGGAUACCGAGCCUCUGUAAAGCUCCUUCGACGAGUCGAGUAGUUUGGGAAUGCUGCUCUAAAUGGGAGGUAUAUGUCUUCUAAAGCUAAAUAUUGGCCAGAGACCGAUAGCGCACAAGUAGAGUGAUCGAAAGAUGAAAAGCACUUUGAAAAGAGGGUUAAAUAGUACGUGAAAUUGUUGAAAGGGAAGCGCUUGUGACCAGACUUGGGCUUGGUUAAUCAUCCAGGGUUCUCCCUGGUGCACUUGGCCAGCCCAGGCCAGCAUCAGUUUGUCGCGGGGGAUAAAGGCGUCGGGAAUGUGGCUCCCCCGGGAGUGUUAUAGCCCUUCGUGUAAUACCCUGCUUUAGACUGAGGUUCGCGCAUCUGCAAGGAUGCUGGCGUAAUGGUCAUCAGCGACCCGUCUUGAAACACGGACCAAGGAGUCGUCUUCGUAUGCGAGUGUUCGGGUGUCAAACCCCUACGCGUAAUGAAAGUGAACGCAGGUGAGAGCUUCGGCGCAUCAUCGACCGAUCCUGAUGUUCUCGGAUGGAUUUGAGUAAGAGCAUACGGGGCCGGACCCGAAAGAAGGUGAACUAUGCCUGUGUAGGGUGAAGCCAGAGGAAACUCUGGUGGAGGCUCGCAGCGGUUCUGACGUGCAAAUCGAUCGUCAAACA
This 792-nucleotide ribosomal RNA is filed under the name Nectria dematiosa. RNAcentral's name for it is "eukaryotic LSU rRNA". It matches the Rfam family "Eukaryotic large subunit ribosomal RNA", at positions 88 to 911 of the family's 3401-position model. Lineage: Eukaryota; Fungi; Ascomycota; Sordariomycetes; Hypocreales; Nectriaceae. The record is from RNAcentral.